GGACGGGUGAGUAACACGUGGGUAACCUGCCCUCCAUUGGGGGAUAACAUUUGGAAACAGAUGCUAAUACCGCAUAGAUCCAAGAACCGCAUGGUUCUUGGCUGAAAGAUGGCCUAAGCUAUCGCUUUUGGAUGGACCCGCGGCGUAUUAGCUAGUUGGUGAGGUAACGGCUCACCAAGGCGAUGAUACAUAGCCGAACUGAGAGGUUGAUCGGCCACAUUGGGACUGAGACACGGCCCAAACUCCUACGGGAGGCAGCAGUAGGGAAUCUUCCACAAUGGACGCAAGUCUGAUGGAGCAACGCCGCGUGAGUGAAGAAGGCUUUCGGGUCGUAAAACUCUGUUGUUAGAGAAGAAUGGUCGGCAGAGUAACUGUUGUCGGCGUGACGGUAUCCAACCAGAAAGCCACGGCUAACUACGUGCCAGCAGCCGCGGUAAUACGUAGGUGGCAAGCGUUAUCCGGAUUUAUUGGGCGUAAAGCGAGCGCAGGCGGUUUUUUAAGUCUGAUGUGAAAGCCCUCGGCUUAACCGAGGAAGCGCAUCGGAAACUGGGAAACUUGAGUGCAGAAGAGGACAGUGGAACUCCAUGUGUAGCGGUGAAAUGCGUAGAUAUAUGGAAGAACACCAGUGGCGAAGGCGGCUGUCUGGUCUGUAACUGACGCUGAGGCUCGAAAGCAUGGGUAGCGAACAGG
RNAcentral lists this ribosomal RNA (690 nucleotides) under uncultured bacterium. Its description in RNAcentral is "bacterial SSU rRNA". It matches the Rfam family "Bacterial small subunit ribosomal RNA", at positions 100 to 776 of the family's 1533-position model. The record is from RNAcentral.